This 263-nucleotide ribosomal RNA is filed under the name uncultured bacterium. RNAcentral describes it as "partial 16S ribosomal RNA". It matches the Rfam family "Bacterial small subunit ribosomal RNA", at positions 793 to 1055 of the family's 1533-position model. The record is from RNAcentral.
GUCCACGCCGUAAACGAUGAGAACUAGCCGUUGGACCCCUUGAGGGUUUAGUGGCGUAGCUAACGCGAUAAGUUCUCCGCCUGGGGAGUACGGCCGCAAGGCUAAAACUCAAAUGAAUUGACGGGGGCCCGCACAAGCGGUGGAGCAUGUUGUUUAAUUCGAUGCAACGCGAAGAACCUUACCACCCCUUGACAUCCUCGGAACUUGGCAGAGAUGCCUUGGUGCCUUCGGGAACCGAGUGACAGGUGCUGCAUGGCUGUCGU